This 48-nucleotide transfer RNA is filed under the name Pseudolophozia debiliformis. RNAcentral describes it as "partial tRNA-Leu". Lineage: Eukaryota; Viridiplantae; Streptophyta; Jungermanniopsida; Jungermanniales; Lophoziaceae. The record is from RNAcentral.
CGCUACGGACUUUUUUAGACCGUGAGGGUUCAAGUCCCUCUACCCCCA